UUGGGGAUCACGUCAUUGCAGAUGGUGCGGAAGUCGGAGGCUUUCCUCAAUGAGGAGAGCUCCUCGUCCUUGAUGGAGAUCUUCAGGUCGGGGCUGAUGUCAAGUUCAGCUAGCAGGAACUGGAGAGAGACACGGGGCGUGGAAAGACAUGAAGCAUUCAGGCUUCACUGAGGACACCAGUGUAUUCGUUACCACGUGUGUUCAUUGAGGGAGACAGACGAGGAAAGAGCUUUGGAAUCCAAGAGACCUGGGUUCCAGUUCUGACCUUCCCACUAGCUGUGUAACCCUGGAUGAGCUACUUAACUUCUCUGAGCCUCACUUUCCUCCUGUGUGAAAUGGUUAGUAACAGUACUUCACUGGGAGGUUGGGAGAAAUAAGUAAGGCAAAUACGGACAACGUCUAACACUGUGGCUGGUACAAUGCCACUAUUUAAGCGACUGACUUACUGUUAUGAGUGCCCUGGACCAACCCCUGAUUCCCUUUCUCCCCCCCCCCCCCCCACCCACCGAAGAUCUUCUAAAGCAUGCGCUGACGGCUUGGGGUAAUUUAAAAUCAAAAGCUGAAUCUGAAGGAUGCAGAGAAUUGUACGAGGAAUUAAGUGGGACACAGGGAUUUGUUCUCAUUUAUCACCUGUUCUUUAAGUGUAGGGUGGGGUAAGCCACACGCAACCCCUGCUCAGGACCAGGCUCAUAUGAGGAAUGUAGUAAAUACCUCUUGGACUCAGAGUUCUAACUCUCUUCUUUGUCUCUGACUCCCCCUGGCUCUAAUCCAUCUUCCAUGCUGUUCUCUGCUAUCUUUCUAGAACAGAUCUGUUCACGUGACUCCCAAGUUCCAGACGUGGCCAGGUUUGUUCCCCGUGGCAGGAUCUGAAAUCUCUCCCUCCUCCCCCCAGCUCAACUGCUUGGCUGCAGCAGGCCAUCUCUUUCUUAACCCGAAAGUUCUGGUACGUGGAGGAUGUGGGAGGAUGUCAAGGCAGGAGGGGGAUUUGGGAGAUCAUUGUGGUUCCUCAUUUAACAGUUGAGGAGAUUCAGCCCCAGAGAGCAAUGGGGGCAUAUGCAAGGUCGCACAGCCGAUGGCGAUCCUGGAAUUUCCCCACUGAGCCAAUCCAGGCAGCCUUGGGGGAUUUGCCUGUGGUUUGGAGAAGGAGUGGGGUAUUGGCGGCAAAGGUGAGCGAGGCAGAGGAAGAGAGCCUUCGGGGUGGCCCCAGACUGUCAGAAGCAUAUAGUUACUGGAGACAUGGCUCUACUGAGACAAUCGGGGUGGCGUUGCCUGAGCACCCCUGAGCCUUUGCUGGGGAACGUGGCUCUGCUCUGCAGCUCGGGUGCUGGUACUCGGAAAUCUCGAAUUUUGCCUGGACUGAACCCUGCAAUGCCAUCAUUCCCUGUCACGGCGUGUGGGAAAGGGAGGAGAUAUGAGGAAUACCUUACUGUGGGAUGGGAAGGAUUCGAUGAAUCCACAAACUGGUCUAGAUCAGGCCCUAUGACAGCAGGGGCCACUCAUUUUCAGGGACUUAGGUCCCUUUGCCAAAAAUCACAGCGAAGGUGCGACGCCUUUUGCGUGACUUGAAUUGACCACUUUCUUGUCCUCCUACCUCGUAGAGCAGUUCUACGUCCUCCAGGGAGCUCUGCAGGACGGGAUUCAGGGGCAUGGAUGAGGAUCUCUUUGGCCGAUGCGCAGCAGGAAAGAGCAUGGCUGCAAAAGACAGGAGUUAGUUCGAGAGGCUGCUUGUGCACAUGGCCUUCUCCCCACCCCCGCUGACCUGGAGGUGGGCCGGCCCGUCUUGAAAGUGACUGACUCCACGUGGUGGUGGACGUGAAGCAGGAAAAAGGGGCAGAUGACUCUGGUGCGCCCCAGAGGGCUCCCAGGCAUGUCCCAUGUUACUAUUUCAGACCAGUGAUUUCAAACCCGCUGCUCAUCAGAAUCAUCCCAGAAAGCUAUGAAAAACUAGAUGUCUAGGGAUAUGGAUACCUUAGGGAAUUUAUGUAAAGCAAAAUAAAACAGAACAGAAAUGAGCGGACAGCCCUCCCUGCUGCCCCCCGCCCCGCCCCCUGUUCAACAAAUGAGUUCUCUAAUAACACCGUUCCCUUUGUUAAUACAAAAUGCUGGUUUAUAUUUAUUGACAGCCCUUUUAAUCAGAGGAUCAGACGUCUGGCUGUUCCCCAGCCAUCUGAAAUCGAGCUGCCAAGACGCUGGACACAGGUGACAAAGGAAAGGCAGAGAGCCGCCACAAGCCCCUGACACUUGGCCCUAGGGGUGUGUGAAGCAGAGCUCAGGGCUUCCCCUGGGGGCGGGCUGAGAGGGGCACGUGGCGUGCAGUCGUUGGUUCGCCAGUGUUUUUGGAGAUACUGCAUUUGGAGGUGGUACCUGGAGGAAGACGGAUGAGCUGAGGGGUGGAGGGGGUGGCAGAAUUAGGAACUGACAGAGGGCAGGUGAAGAAGACAGACUAAGGUAGGGUAUGGGUGUAAGCGUUAUGAAUCCCAGUUCUCCAGGAUGGUCUUGGGUAGGAGCAGACAGCCCCGUUCACCCCACAGCCCCACCUUGUACCAGGGCGUUGCGCAGAAAUGAUUGGUAACCCUGCUGUCUGCAAAUAAACGAAGGGACCCUCUUCUUCAAGACACUUGCUUGUGCCCUGGCAGAAAACUGGGGAACCAACUGUAAACAUCCAAGCCGUGUCCAGCCUACUCUUCCAGGAUGCGAAUGUGCUCGCGAGGACCACUCCGCGCCACCAGGGGACGUCGGAGACUUCCACGUCUCCUCGCGCAAAGGUCUCCUGUAUGGCUGGUCGCAGGGCAGGAAGACCAUGGGCUUCUCCCCAGUUCCCUGACUCCCUGGACAAACGAGCCUUCGGGGGGAAAUUGAGGCUCUGUGAUACAUUGGACAGACCAGCACAGAGCAAAUGACUCACUUGCUAAAGGUUAUGCCCGUGCACCAAGAAGCCCGGGAACAGAGUCCAGAGACUCGAGCGUCAUGUGUCGGGGCCUGUUCUGUCCACGUCUUUUGCCGAGGGACACAUCUGGGCUGCGGACCAAAGUUGUUAAAAUGUGGAGCUCAGAUACCCUAACUGUGCACGAGCCCACUGUGUGCUCAUCGGCGUGCUUUGGGCUUUCCACACGUACCUUGUGAGACUGGUUAGCUCCCCUCAGCCCCCCAAAUGGAGCUCUGGCAGGCCCUGAGGGCGCAGGGAGUUGGGCCAGGCGUGUCCGGCUUCUAGGCUGGCCUCCCGAACCACAGCCUGUGCAUUAGGAGGGUGGAUGUUGUCAUCUUUCUCUAAGAGACAAAUUAAGGAAGGCCCCCAGUGUCGCGCAGGGGCAAGGGGCCGAAUGUAAUGCCAAGAUCUCUUUGCUCUCCUUCUAAGUGUCGCCUCCAACGUUUGUGCGUAUCAUGAGCAGAGGUGUGUGUGGGUGUGGGUGAUGUUACCAGACGGAAAAAAAAUAAAAUAAAAGGAAAACGCUACAUGAAUUAUUCGUCUCUGGGCAACAAUUGCUUCACAGCUCGGCUCAGAGAGCUGGCAAGUCCCUGAUCUCAAGCUUAAAAAUGAGGGAAUAAGAACCUCAGAUAAGCGCGGUGGCUUUGCUCCCCGCCCGUGUCACAUCCGUUUGCCCUGUGCUUCUCUGUUCCACACUGGCUGCUCCUUUCCCGACACUCUCCCUGAGAACCCGGAGGCUCAUCAUCACCUCUGCCGUGCCCCCGCUGCCAUGCCCGUCCUCAUUCUAUUUUGGAUCUCUAGAAACACCUAUGAGCCUGACUUCUCUUUCCAGCUCUCUUGGGGAGAGAGACCUCAGUCCAUUUCAAGCAGUGGAGACCGUCGGGUUGAGCUCUGCACGGAGUGGUCCUCACUGCUGCUCCCUCGGUCCCCAGCGGUGAUCAACUGUAAUUGGCUGGAUGGGUGACCAGUAUCUGCCACCCGGAGCCGGUCCUGGGCACAGAGAAGAGGUGCCACGCGGUCCCCAGGGGAAGGAAGUCGGCUGUGAGCGAAAAGCCUUGCCGGGUUCCCUCCUCUCCGGGGUGGACUGCGGGGCCAGUGGGAGUAGCCGUCUGGCACACACGUGAAUGCUAAGGGUCACCCUUGCUCUCCUGCCACUGGGCCGGCUCUCCCCAGCUGGAAAGAUGUGCCCAGUCUAGCUCAGGAGCCGUGUGGAGACCUCCAUGUGGCCAGCCCGUGGCCAGGGCCCCUAGUCGGGUCCCCCAGGUGGCAGGCCUUUUGCAAGCCAGCACCCAGAGCCCCGGGAUACUGGUGUUCGUCCUGAUUUCUAAUUGCAUUUGAGAAAGAAUAAUGAGCAUCAAAUAAAUACAGAGCAACUUACCCCUGCUCCACCUGUGGGACACCGCCGCCUGAGCAUCAUAACACAACAGCAGAAGCAGCAGCGUGUUCCAACACAUCUUUUGCUCCAAAAAGGUGACACUUGUCCUCGAACCCAAUGGGACCUCAGGAGCUACAGGUAUUCAGCAUGACCUCAGGCAAGCGAGUCUGAAGCAGCCAGACAUGAAGCAUUCCCAGUGAGGUUUAUCUCUGACACUGUUCCAUGCCGAACACAGAGCUACAUCAUUCUAUGUGCUUCUGGCGGGGACCCCCAUAAAUCCUCAUCUGCAGGAAAGGAAUUCUGUCGCACUUCAGGCAAUAGAAGAUAUACCACAGGCUGAGGGACACCAGCUGUGAGCUAUCUGAAUGAAUGAUAAGACGCCGGAAUGCGAAGAGGUGUGACCAUCUUCCUGGAUCUGCCUCCUGUGUUGUGAUGCAGCUCUUGGUUUGUGGUUCCAUGUAACAUGGCUAGAAAUGCUGCAACUGACUGGUUUGUUGAAGCUGGAUUUUGAACACCCUCUAAGAGUGAACACCAGAAAAUUCCAAAUUUACCAGGACCUCAAGCACAUCAAGACACCAGACGACUUGGAGGGCUCCUAUUUACAGCAAACUGCCUCUAAUAACAAUCUCACUCAGUAUGUACGACAGAAAACGGAGCUUACAAAUUUCAUACAAGGGCUACUUAAAGUGUGGUCUCUAAACCUGGUACCAGUCUGCAAAUGGUUAGGAGUCCAGAAUAUUUUCUACAUCACUAAGUACAGUGCUCAGUUCGGCUAACUUGUUUUUUCAUCGCAAGAUACUCUUGAUGAAGGAGGCUGGAUUGAUUUAUUCUAGCCCAACCUUCUUAUCCAUCAUGAACUGGUAACAGUUUGUGAGCCACAAAAGACCCCGAAUAGCCAAAGCACCCUUGAAAAGGAAAAACAAAGCUGCAGGCAUCACAAUUCUGGGUUUCAAAUUAUAGUACAAAGCUGUAGUAACUAAAAUAGUAUGGUACUGGCACAAAAACAGACACAUAGAUCAAUGGAAUAGAACAGAAAACCCAAAAACGAACCUACAACUAUAUGGUCAAUUAAGCUUUGACAAAGCUGGAAAGAAUAUCCAACGGGAAAAAGACUAUGUCUUCAACAAAUGACGGUGGGAAAACUGGACAGCAAAGUGCAAAAGCAUGGAACUGACCACUUUCUUAUACCAUAACACAAAAAUAAAUUAAAAAUGGAUGAAAGACCUAAAUUUGAGACCUGAAACUAUAAAAAUCCUAAGACAGAACAUGGUAAGUAAUUUCUCUGAUAUCGGCUAUAGCAACUUCUUUCCCCAGAUGUCUCCUUAGGCAAAAGUAAAAAUAAAGUACUGGGACUUCGUCAAAAUAAAAACCUUCUUCACAGUGAAGGAAACCAUCAACAAAACUAAAAAGCAACCUACAGAAUGGGAGAAGAUAUUUGCAAAUGACUUAUCUGAUAAAGGGUUAGUAUCCAAAAUAUAUAAAGAACUUCCAAAGCUUAAAAACCAAAAAAUGAAUCAUCUGAUUAAAAAUGGGCAGAAGACAAGAACAUUCUUCCAAAGAUGAUAUCCAGAUGGCCAACAUCACUGAUCAUCAAGGAAAUGCAAAUCAAAACUACAAUGAUAUAUCACCUCACACCUGUCAGAAUGGCUAAAAUCAACAACACAAGAAACAAACAGGUGUUGGUCAAGAUGUGGAGAAAGGGGAGCCCCUUUGCACUGUUGGUGGGAAUGCAAACUGGGGCAGCCACUCUGGAAAACAGUAUGGAAGUUCCUCAAAAAGUUAAAAAUGAAACUACCCUAUGAUCCAGCAACUGCACUACUAGGUUUUUACCCAAAGAAUACAAAUGCACUAAUUCAAAGGGAUACAUGCACCCCGAUGUUUACAGUAGCAUUAUCUACAACAGCCAAAUUAUGGAAACAGCUUAAGUGGCUACUGAUUGAUAAAGAUGGGGUGCAUACAAUGGAAUAUUACUCAGCGAUAAAAAAGAAUGAAAUCUUGCCACUUGCAACAACAUGGAUGGAGUUAGAGUAUUAUGCUGAGCAAAAUGAGUCAGAGAAAGACAAAUACCAUAUGAUUUCACUCAUAUGUAGAAUUUAAAGAAGAAAUGACCAAGAGAGGAAAGAAAAAUACAAACUAAGACACAGACUCUUAACUGCAGAGAAUAAACUGAUGGUUACCAGAAGGGAGGUGGGAAGGGUGAAGGGUGAAAUAAGUGAUGGGGAUUAAGGAGUGCGCUUGUUGUGAUGAGCACUAGGUGAUAUAUGAAGUAGUGUUGAAACUGAUGUUCACUGGAUGUUCACUGGAAUUUUAAAUAAAAACUUUAAGACAAUUA
This is a long non-coding RNA of Acinonyx jubatus (cheetah), 6633 nucleotides long. RefSeq lists it as uncharacterized. The record is from RefSeq and is a predicted model, not a curated record. NCBI's taxonomy places the organism in Eukaryota, Metazoa, Chordata, Mammalia, Carnivora, Felidae. The transcript is spliced from 8 exons.